This is a long non-coding RNA of Dendroctonus ponderosae (mountain pine beetle), 680 nucleotides long. RefSeq lists it as uncharacterized. Lineage: Eukaryota; Metazoa; Arthropoda; Insecta; Coleoptera; Curculionidae. The record is from RefSeq and is a predicted model, not a curated record. The transcript has 3 exons.
AUCAGUCGGUAAAGGAGAUUUCUGGUGGCGCGUCGCCCGAGUGUGGUUGUCAUCUUUACAAUUCGAAUUCUGGCAUUAUUUUUUUUAUAGAAUUUGGAUUUUCUUUAGCUCAAAGCAGUUUCCGAGUGAAUACGCAUAUAAAGAGUGUUGCAGUUCAGAAUAGACCAACAGCCGUCGAUUAAAGAUUUAAAAAAGUCCAGAAAGAGUUCAAACUACGGCAACAUUUUCGGUUAUUUGGGAUCAGAAGGGUCUGGUGGCCCAGAAGCGCGAAAGUCAUCACUGUUUCGUCGCCAAAUUCCACUUUUUGCGAGAAGAUUGAUUAGGAAUGAUUAUUGACUGCAAAACUGACCACUACUCGUGUUUUCUUCAGUUGAAAUUUGAUUCACAAAUCUUCACAUUUAAGUCUUGAAGCGGCGGACGCAAAAAUUAUGAGCUAGAAUAGAAAAUGGUCGCAACAUGCUUCGCCUAUAAAACCCCAUUUUCUUCAAGCAAUUCGCAUCAGAACGGUCAUAAAUGAGUGCUGCUGCGUUCCCAAUUUUCUUUCCAACGCUUGUCUAUGGUCGAUGGGGCUUCAUAAUUUAAACAGCGUAAAAGUGAUGUAUAUAUAUUUAAGUACACCUAUAUAUACAUGUACAAACCGUGUAAAAAGUAUGGAAAAUAGAUACAAACGUUAUACAGGG